This 75-nucleotide transfer RNA is filed under the name Acinetobacter ursingii. RNAcentral's name for it is "tRNA-Asp(gtc)". It matches the Rfam family "tRNA". Rfam says of the family: Transfer RNA (tRNA) molecules are approximately 80 nucleotides in length. Their secondary structure includes four short double-helical elements and three loops (D, anti-codon, and T loops). Further hydrogen bonds mediate the characteristic L-shaped molecular structure. tRNAs have two regions of fundamental functional importance: the anti-codon, which is responsible for specific mRNA codon recognition, and the 3' end, to which the tRNAs corresponding amino acid is attached (by aminoacyl-tRNA synthetases). tRNAs cope with the degeneracy of the genetic code in two manners: having more than one tRNA (with a specific anti-codon) for a particular amino acid; and 'wobble' base-pairing, i.e. permitting non-standard base-pairing at the 3rd anti-codon position. The record is from RNAcentral. Lineage: Bacteria; Pseudomonadati; Pseudomonadota; Gammaproteobacteria; Moraxellales; Moraxellaceae.
GCAGCGGUAGUUCAGUUGGUUAGAAUACCGGCCUGUCACGCCGGGGGUCGCGGGUUCGAGCCCCGUCCGCUGCGC